CUGAGCCGAAGGCAGACGCCCAACGACUGAGCCACCCAGGCGCCCCUCAUUUUUAAAGUAAAUUGCUCUUGUAACUCCAUAAGUUAGAACUCAGAAAAGUUACUCAGUCUCCUUCUCAUCUAGGGCAGGUGACCUGAGCUCCACCAAUGAAUAUAUCCACAUGAGACUCUGAGUCAUAAGUGAGGGAUGUGAGAAAACAGACAUACAAAUUUAAAGUUCAUCAUCUGGUGAGCAAUGGAGACAAAGCUUUAUGCAGUUGUACAGAGGAAUUAUUGAUUCAGCUUUCCAGAUACUAGGAAAGGGCUACUUUUUGACAGUGACCAUCCAAUCACUUGAAAAGUAUUCCCCUACUAUAAAUAUUUACAAUCUUUAUACUUUGGCUUCAUGCGAGCCUAAUCAGUAACUGAGAAACUCAUCACUCUGGAUUAAUUAGCAAAAUCAAAUGUUGAAGAAUAGGUAGGUCAUAAAACACACUGCAAAGUUGAAGAAUAGGUAGGUCAUAAAACACACUGUCUUCAGAAAAGUAGUACCACCUGGCAGGCUUGGCCUGACGACUGGCAGGUCUUCCCCUAGAGUUGCAAGAGUAAGAAUCACGUACAUUACGUAUGAUAGUAAAAUAUAAAACAUGCAUAAGAAAACUAACUGUACUUGACCAUUUAUCGGAAGGUCCUGGAUCUUUAAAGGGCUAUCCUCACUUCAAAAUAUAAAGGGAUUUAGAUUCCUCCAAACUAAACUUCGUCAUGUUAAUUCUCAUGGCCAUGAGAAAUCUGGACAGGUUUCAAAGCUAUUUCUCACAAUUAAUAUCUUUAUUGCCCACCAACGGAUUAUUAACUAACCACUGGCCUCAAUUUCAGUAUAGGAAAAACUAUUUUAGUCACUGUCAUAGGAAGAAUUCUAAGAUGAUCCCAAAUGACCCCUCACCCUGUGAAUAUAAUGAGAUCACUCCCCUGACUAUCUCACAUUACAUAGUAAAAGGAUUUCUACAGGCAUAUUUAAAGUUUCUAAUUAGUAGUCUUUGAGUUAAUGAAAAGAUUACCCGGAUGGGUUUAGCCUAAUCACAAAAGCCCUUCAAGUAAGAGUCUAGAAUGCAAAGGCAGACACAGAAGGUAAAGAAAUGAACCCCUGCUGUCCUGAAAGAAAACAAAAUGCCUAUGAGGGCCAAGUGACAAGGAACUGCAGGUGGCCUCUAGGAGCUGAGUGGCCCCCUUCAACAGCCAGGAAGAAAUAAGGGCCUCAGUCCUGUAACCACAGAGGACUAAAUUCUACUACAGCUACAUGAGCACAGAAGAAAACCCUAAGCUCCAGAUAAGAACACAGUCUGGAUGACACCUUGUGAAACUCUUCGCAGAGAUACCAGUGAGUGGCCCACGCCAGACUUCUGACCUACGGACUAUGAAGUAACAACUGGGUUAUUAGGCACUAAGACUGUAGUAAUUUUGUUAUGCAACAUAAGAAAAUGUAUACAAUCGCUUUUGGGAAUAAUAAACCUUGAGUGGCUUGUCCCUA
Long non-coding RNA from Ailuropoda melanoleuca (giant panda), 1506 nucleotides. RefSeq lists it as uncharacterized. Lineage: Eukaryota; Metazoa; Chordata; Mammalia; Carnivora; Ursidae. The transcript has 2 exons. The record is from RefSeq and is a predicted model, not a curated record.